AGGAAAUGGAAGAAUUUGUCCAGAGCUCUGAUGAAGAUGGUGUUGUGUUUUCUCUGGAGCCAGUAGUGCAAAACCUUACAGAAGAAAAGGCUGAUCUUAUGGCUUCCGCCCUGGUUCAGAUUCCACAAAAGUUUUAUGGAGAUUCCAAGGAAAGAAACCAACUACAUUAGGAAGCAAUACUCAGCUCUAUGUUUGGAUAUCCCAGAGUGAUCUUCAUGCUAGGUCAUCCCCAAACCCAAGCUUUUAUCACUCAAGGUGAUAUAAAUGAGAUACAUGAAGCUAUUUACCAUGCAGUCCCUAUGGUGGGAGUUCCCAUGUCUGGUGAUCAGCCUGAUAAGACCUCUCAUAUGAAAGCCAAAUAAGCAACUGUGCAGGUGAACAUGAAUACAAUUACACGGGCAGAAUUGCUUAGGUCUUUGAGAACAGUUGCUAAUGAUCGUUAUAAACAGAAUGCUAUGAGAUUAUCAAGAAUUCACCAUGAUCAACCUGUAAAGCCCCUGGAUUGAGCAGUUUUCUGGAUCGAGUUUGUCAUGCGCCACAAAGGAGCCAAGCACCCUUGGCUAGCUGCCCACAACCUCUCCUAGUACCAGUGCCACUCUUUGGAUGUGAUUGUGUUUUGGCUGGUCUCCGUAGCAAUUACUAUAUUGUUGGUCACAAAACUUUGUUUGUUUUUCUGUUGAAAAUUUGGUAAAAUAGGAAAGAAGAAAAA
This 709-nucleotide long non-coding RNA is filed under the name Homo sapiens (human). RNAcentral's name for it is "non-protein coding lnc-UGT2B7-2:1". The record is from RNAcentral. Lineage: Eukaryota; Metazoa; Chordata; Mammalia; Primates; Hominidae.